UACGGAGGAUUCGAGCGUUAUCCGGAUUUAUUGGGUUUAAAGGGAGCGUAGGCGGGUUGUUAAGUCAGUUGUGAAAGUUUGCGGCUCAACCGUAAAAUUGCAGUUGAUACUGGCAUCCUUGAGUACAGUAGAGGUAGGCGGAAUUCGUGGUGUAGCGGUGAAAUGCUUAGAUAUCACGAAGAACUCCGAUUGCGAGGGCAGCCUGCUGGACUGUAACUGACGCUGAUGCUCGAAAGUGUGGGUAUCAAACAGG
RNAcentral lists this ribosomal RNA (253 nucleotides) under uncultured bacterium. Its description in RNAcentral is "partial 16S ribosomal RNA". It matches the Rfam family "Bacterial small subunit ribosomal RNA", at positions 524 to 776 of the family's 1533-position model. The record is from RNAcentral.